GAUGAACGCUGGCGGCGUGCCUAACACAUGCAAGUCGAGCGGGGGUAUGAGGAGUGCUUGCACACAUCAUAUUCUAGCGGCGGACGGGUGAGUAACGCGUGGGCAACCUGCCCCAUACAACGGGAUAACACUUAGAAAUAGGUGCUAAUACGGUAUAAUGCUGAAUUACCGCAUGGUAAAACAGAGAAAGAUUUAUCGGUAUGGGAGGGGCCCGCGUCUGAUUAGCUAGUUGGUGAGGUAAAGGCCCACCAAGGCGACGAUCAGUAGCCGACCUGAGAGGGUGAACGGCCACAUUGGGACUGAGACACGGCCCAAACUCCUACGGGAGGCAGCAGUGGGGAAUAUUGCACAAUGGGCGAAAGCCUGAUGCAGCAACGCCGCGUGAAGGAGGAAGGUUUUCGGAUCGUAAACUUCUAUCGACAGGGACGAAAGCAAUGACGGUACCUGAGUAAGAAGCCCCGGCUAACUACGUGCCAGCCGCCGCCGCAGUAAGA
RNAcentral lists this ribosomal RNA (494 nucleotides) under uncultured bacterium. RNAcentral describes it as "bacterial SSU rRNA". It matches the Rfam family "Bacterial small subunit ribosomal RNA", at positions 28 to 525 of the family's 1533-position model. The record is from RNAcentral.